This 253-nucleotide ribosomal RNA is filed under the name uncultured prokaryote. RNAcentral describes it as "partial 16S ribosomal RNA". It matches the Rfam family "Bacterial small subunit ribosomal RNA", at positions 524 to 776 of the family's 1533-position model. The record is from RNAcentral.
UACGGAGGAUGCGAGCGUUAUCCGGAUUCAUUGGGUUUAAAGGGUGCGCAGGCGGGGCAUUAAGUCAGUGGUGAAAUGAGACGGCUCAACUGUCUGGCUGCCAUUGAUACUGAUGUUCUAGAGUGUAAUUGGAGUGGGCGGAAUGUGUCAUGUAGCGGUGAAAUGCUUAGAUAUGACACAGAACACCGAUCGCGAAGGCAGCUCACUAAGUUAAGACUGACGCUCAUGCACGAAAGCGUGGGGAUCAAACAGG